GAUGAACGCUGGCGGCGUGCCUAAUACAUGCCAGUCGAGCGAACAGACGAGGAGCUUGCUCCUCUGACGUUAGCGGCGGACGGGUGAGUAACACGUGGAUAACCUACCUAUAAGACUGGGAUAACUUCGGGAAACCGGAGCUAAUACCGGAUAAUAUAUUGAACCGCAUGGUUCAAUAGUGAAAGACGGUUUUGCUGUCACUUAUAGAUGGACCCGCGCCGCAUUAGCUAGUUGGUAAGGUAACGGCUUACCAAGGCAACGAUGCGUAGCCGACCUGAGAGGGUGAUCGGCCACACUGGAACUGAGACACGGUCCAGACUCCUACGGGAGGCAGCAUUGGGGAAUCUUCCGCAAGGGGCGAAAGCCUGACGGAGCAACGCCGCGUGAGUGAUGAAGGUCUUCGGAUCGUAAAACUCUGUUAUUAGGGAAGAACAAAUGUGUAAGUAACUAUGCUCGUCUGGACGGUACCAAAUCAGAAGGCCACGGCUAACUACUG
RNAcentral lists this ribosomal RNA (496 nucleotides) under uncultured bacterium. RNAcentral's name for it is "partial 16S ribosomal RNA". It matches the Rfam family "Bacterial small subunit ribosomal RNA", at positions 28 to 506 of the family's 1533-position model. The record is from RNAcentral.